UCUUUCAUGGUUCUUUCAACCGAAAAUGAGAAAAGAAAAAAAGUUCAUGGAAGCCAUUAGGGUUCGGCAACUUCAAGCUUUAAUUAGUAAGUGAUUUUGACUCGAUUUUUGAUAAUUUUUAUAUUUUUGAGAUCGUUACUUCGAAUGCUAGUAAACCCAUGCUUCAAUUUUCGGAAUUUAUGUUGAUUUUGUGUUUUGCCAUUGUUGAAAGUUUGAUGAUUUUUGUGUUUGAUGAUGAAAAAUAAAUAUGUAUUAAUAGAUUUUUCAUGUUUUGGUUAAAUAAUGAUUCGGUUGAUGAAUGUGUUUUCGGUUGUGGCUUAAUUGGAUAAGCUAAGCAAUGAAUAAAUCAUUGCUUGUAUAAUUGGAUUUAUUGGUGCAUUUACGAAGACAAGAAUAUUCAUGAAUUAUAGUUGAUUUGUUAAUUAUUAAGUUAAGUUUAAGGUGUUUAGUUAAUAUGACUAUUUGGUUAUGAAAUUGGUAUAAAUUAUUAUUUUUAUAUAAUUUGCUAGCCGAAUAGAUGAAAAACAAUUUGGUUUUGAAAAUGACAUUUUAGCCUGAUUCAUAGCAUGUGAAUUUGACAUAUUUCUAUUCGGCAUUGGUACUUAGUAAAUGACUAUUAAUAGUUAAAUGAGUGGUGCAUGAAUUAUUUUUAAAUACAAUGGAGAUUCGGUCAUUUGGUAAUGCUUGUAUGUACUUUUAUUAUUUUUGUCUAAUAAUCCGUGUGGAAUAACUUGACCAUUCAGUAAUGGUUGCUAAUAUUUCAUGUUUGGAUGUAUUAAUGUAUGUGCAUUAUAUGUGCUGAAUCAAGUUGUAAAUAUAUAUAUGUUACCGAUUAAAUUGAGCUUUGGAAAAUUUGUUCCGAGUGUGAAAUAAAUUGAAUAAAUGGGCUACUAAGGCCUAAGGUAAAUUCAGUCUAACACGGGUUUGAUGAGAUUUUUUGUAUUUUGUGCUAUUUGGAAAUAGGGACUAAUUUGUGAAAAUAUAAAAUAUUAGGGGGCUAAUGUGCAAAUUGCCCUUUUUAUGUGUUUUUGGGUGAAUUUGAGUAUAUGUGAGAUUAAAUAAGUUUAAUUUAUAUUAAUUUAGAUUAAGAAAAGAGGAAAUCAGAAUUGGAUCGGAAGAAAAAAAAACUAAAAUUUUCAAAUAGCCGUCCCGGUUCGUUCGUCUUCGUCCGUGGUAAGUUUUAAGUAGUCACCUUUAGUAUAUAAUUGAUGAUGCCUUGAUAUGUAUACAUUAGAUGGAUUGUGACCUUUUGGUUCUACUUGAAUUAAGUUGUGUGAUAAAUAAUUUAUGUAUAUGACAUAUAGUUGAAUGGCCACUAUGGGUUAAGCUUGAAUGGUGAAAUGGAUAUGUGAUAUUUAUGUAUGACUUUUGAACCGAAAUGUAAAUGAUGAUGUUCAUAUGGAGAUUGUAUCCGAAUGUAGCAAAUGACUACUAAUGUGAUAUGUUGAAUGAGAUGUGUUAAUAUAUGAUUAAAUAUGCAUGAUAUUUGAUGUAUAUCCGGGUUAAAUCCCGCAGGCUUAGUGCUGGUAUUAUAUCCGGGUUUUAUCCCGCAGGCUUCGUGCUGGUAUUAUAUCUGGGUUUUAUCCUGCAGGCUUCGUGCUGGUAUUAUAUCCGGGUUAAAUCCCGCAGGCUUAGUGCUGGUAUUAUAUUCGAGCUUAAAGUCCCGCAGGUUUUGUGCUGGUGACUAAAUUCAGGUUUUAAACCUAGCAAGCUUAACGCCGGUGAUUCAAGUAAGAUUAUGAAUUCGAAAGUUCGAGGUAAACUACUAUUGAUUAUGUAUGAUACAUUAUGAUAGUCAGGUACAUAUUAUGUACUCGCAUGUGAAUUGAUUUUUAAGGUGAAUUAUUAGUAUCAAAGAACGAUAUAUAUGUGUGAAUGAUUACUAUAUCUACGAAUAAGAGCAUGACCUAUUCGGUCGACGUCUGUCAUUAUAUGAAAGUAUGUGACUUAAAUUAAUUGUACGAGCUUCCAGAGAUAUCCGAGUAUCCUCUUUGUUUCCGAAUGGUUCAACUGGUAUUCUGAGAAGUAAAUGAAUAUAUAAAUGUGCAUCCGAUUCAGGUAUGUUGCAAUGUUUAUUAAAUUGAGUAAUGAAAGUGAAUAUGAUUAUGAUCUAUGGAUAUAUAAUUCAGGUACG
RNAcentral lists this long non-coding RNA (2134 nucleotides) under Gossypium barbadense (sea-island cotton). RNAcentral's name for it is "long non-coding RNA (GBAR_LNC012655)". The record is from RNAcentral. Lineage: Eukaryota; Viridiplantae; Streptophyta; Magnoliopsida; Malvales; Malvaceae.